CCUACGGGGGGCAGCAGUGGGGAAUAUUGGACAAUGGGGGCAACCCUGAUCCAGCCAUGCCGCGUGUGUGAAGAAGGCCCUCGGGUUGUAAAGCACUUUCAGUGAGGAAGAACGCCUGGUGGUUAAUACCCAUCAGGAAAGACAUCACUCACAGAAGAAGCACCGGCUAACUCCGUGCCAGCAGCCGCGGUAAUACGGAGGGUGCGAGCGUUAAUCGGAAUUACUGGGCGUAAAGUGCGCGUAGGUGGCUUGAUAAGCCGGUUGUGAAAGCCCCGGGCUCAACCUGGGAACGGCAUCCGGAACUGUCAAGCUAGAGUGCAGGAGAGGAAGGUAGAAUUCCCGGUGUAGCGGUGAAAUGCGUAGAGAUCGGGAGGAAUACCAGUGGCGAAGGCGGCCUUCUGGACUGACACUGACACUGAGGUGCGAAAGCGUGGGUAGCAAACAGGAUUAGAUACCCCGGUAGUC
This 465-nucleotide ribosomal RNA is filed under the name Vreelandella stevensii. RNAcentral's name for it is "partial 16S ribosomal RNA". It matches the Rfam family "Bacterial small subunit ribosomal RNA", at positions 338 to 795 of the family's 1533-position model. The record is from RNAcentral. Lineage: Bacteria; Pseudomonadati; Pseudomonadota; Gammaproteobacteria; Oceanospirillales; Halomonadaceae.